Molecule: ribosomal RNA, 373 nt
Filed under: uncultured bacterium
Lineage: Bacteria
Description: bacterial SSU rRNA
Rfam family: Bacterial small subunit ribosomal RNA
Source: RNAcentral
GACGAAGGAUGCAAGCGUUAUCCGGAUUCAUUGGGUUUAAAGGGUGCGUAGGCGGACUGAUAAGUCAGUGGUGAAAUCUCUCGGCUUAACCGAGAAACUGCCAUUGAUACUGUCAGUCUAGAGUAUAGAUGACGUUGGCGGAAUAUGACAUGUAGUGGUGAAAUACUUAGAUAUGUCAUAGAACACCGAUUGCGAAGGCAGCUAACGAAACUAUAACUGACGCUGAGGCACGAAAGUGCGGGGAUCAAACAGGAUUAGAUACCCUGGUAGUCCGCACCGUAAACGAUGAUUACUCGUUGUUGGCAAUAUGACCGUCAGCGACCAAGCGAAAGCGAUAAGUAAUCCACCUGGGGAGUACGCCGGCAACGGUGAA